Molecule: long non-coding RNA, 4269 nt
Filed under: Capsella rubella
Lineage: Eukaryota; Viridiplantae; Streptophyta; Magnoliopsida; Brassicales; Brassicaceae
Description: long non-coding RNA (CRUB_LNC000618)
Source: RNAcentral
UCAUGGGCUUCUUUGAUCUCAUAGCCUGUGAGUUGCCUUCCUUCAUAUGCUGCCCGCAACGAUAUGAGGUUCAACCGGAUCAUAGUCGCUAAGUCACUCCUUGUCAAUGUUGGAUUCUCUACGUAAAGUUCACCCAACUUCACUUUUUGUUCUGGUGUAAGAACACUCUCAUCAAAUGGUGGCUCUAUAUAUGGCUCAUCCUCUUCUUCUUGUGGCCAAUCAUUGAAUUCCAUGGCCAACAACUCCUAAAUCACCAAAAAGAAAUAAAAAUUGUUAGUUAAAAAAAACUGCAAAGAAAAUGAUCUAGACUAAAAACUAAUCCUAAAUCUUUAGGUAACGCAAUUGCUCCCCGGCAGCGGCGCUAACUUGAUUACUCGAGUAUUUAACCCGAUAACUUAACCGAAGUAAAGUAUAUGCGGGAUCGAUCACAGGGAGCAAGGGUACACUAAAGACUUGCGAGACUCGUUCUUAGCUAAAGCGGAAAGACUUGUUGUUUGGUUUUCAGUUUGUAAAUAAAAAUGCAAAAAAUAAACUGAGAUUUAACUUAUAAAUUAAAUACAUUGGGCUGCAGAGUAUUUUCAGAGAAUCAAUGAAUAACAAAUAAAAGCUAUAAGGAUUUCUAUCAUGAAGAAUCGUUCUUGAACAUGAACAAAAUUUUAGACUAAUUCUCUCUCAAGACAUUAAUCACUAAAUUCAACUAUUCAAUUACUAACUCUCAUUUGUAAUUUCCUAGCCAAAUUCGCAUUAUCAAACAUGUUCAUUUGUUUAACAAAGCAUUCUAACAUCAACUCUCGUAGGUUAGAAGUACAAUGCUCAAUUUACAUUCAUUCAGGCAUUUUAUCGAAUAUCUCUAAAACACAUAAAAGCCUAAGUUCUAAAACAGGGUGAUCAAUCCAAUUCUAGUAUUGAGAACAUGUAAACUGAAGAACCUAAAGAUUAAGAAUUCCCUAAGACAUCUAAUCUAUCAAAUCAUUGAAUUCUCCUACUUGGAACCCUAAAACCCAAUUAAGAGACUACUCAAAUAUAGCAAAAGAGAAAACAAAAAUCAUAGAUGAAGAAAGCAUGAUGAAAUUUCAGAAACAAUAAGAAAGAGUUUAGAAAUCUUCUCCAAGUGUCAAGAGGAUGGAUUCUUCUCCCAAAAUUGUUUAGAAAGCAAAGAACAAUCUUUAGAACUCAAAAAUUUGAAGGAUGGCUGCUAAAAGGUCGAGCCUAUUUGGGUCGGUUCUGAAGUGUUUCGGAUUGAAUAUGGGCAAAACGAUGCGUCAGAAGUAAGGGUACGAUCGUUCCAAAUGUUAGACCGAUCGGUCUAAUGCUCCCAGGUUUUACUUCUGCAUCAGCUUUACCAACUCGUCAGAAUGACCUGUCUUCACGAAAUCAUGUGUAACUAUUGAAUGCACCGUUAGAUAUCCUUGAAAUUACUUUCAAAUGAUAGUUAACAUCUGUCUUCAUUUUGUGUCAAAAUAUGAGAAAGAUCUAACGGUGGAAAGUUAUUCAUCGGCUCCUAAACAUUUGACACUUCUACAUGAAUCUGCAUCUCCAAAUGUGUGUUUCCAUCCCAAAACAGCUCGUUUUAUUCCAAAGCAACCUAAAACAUGUAAAGACUCUAUAAUGCACUAAAAGAAUCCUAAAACACAUUUUGACUCAAUAAAAGUUUUAAAAUGAAAGAGAAAAGAAAGACUAAAACCGACAAAAACACAAUAUAUCAACUCCCCCCCUGCUUAGGUUCUUGCUUGUCCUCAAGCAAAACAAAAAUCUUAACCAGAAGAAGAGGUUUGAAAACAUGAAAACUCACAUAUCCUCUGGGAUCAUACUCUUAAUCAAUUGCCUGCAAACCGCUAUCACAAAGUUUAUAUCAAACCGUACAAUAAUGUACUUCAUCAUGACAUCAUGAGAUCCCUAAAUCACAAAGAACUAAGAAUCAAAUAACUUAACAUGUUAACAUUCAUUAGCAGUUUCGUGCACUCUCACAAAGGGGAUAUCGAACACGUUAUGGUCUAGGUNNNNNNNNNNNNNNNNNNNNNNNNNNNNNNNNNNNNNNNNNNNNNNNNNNNNNNNNNNNNNNNNNNNNNNNNNNNNNNNNNNNNNNNNNNNNNNNNNNNNGUUUAACGUUCAGCAGUAAUACGAACGGAUGGAAACAUUAUGCAAAAUCACAGUGAGACAAAGACCAAUUGGAAGAUACAUAACUUCCUUCUAACUCGGAUCACCUUAACCACAUCAAAUCCCAGACAAAUCAUAAGUAUUAUAGAUGCUUUUCAAAUACAACCAAAGACAUAUCGACUUUUCCGGUUCCAUUCUUUCUCAUUUCCCGUUCUUUUCUCUUUUUUUUUUAUUUUAUUUUUUAUUUAUUUUAUUUUUUUUUUACGGGGGAGUGGAACCGGUUCUCGUCUCACAAACUGCAUCAACAAAACUCAAUCAUGAUCGCUCACAGCACAUGCUCAUGAAUAUAACAAUAUAACCACAAGAACUCAAUGUCAAUCAUCCUAAACAACUACAAUUACAAUCCUAAUUAAAGGAAAGCUAUGUCGACCUGUAUACUCCGUAGUUUUUGCACAUGAAUGCACAUAAUGACAAUGACAUACGAAUGCAUGUUGUCUGAAGCAUGGAUAGGGCUAAAGGUGUGGUACUAGACUAAAGAUGAGUCUAGCCAUUCAGAUUUUACAAAGAGUGGUAAAACAACGCGGAUUAAACUCUGAAUGUAUGAUCCAUUACAUGAUUACCAACCCUCUAAGUAAGAUAUAAUAAGUCCAUAUUAAGUUCAAAUAAGCAAGGUUAAGCUCAAAUCAUCCAAAUUUCCAAGUGAGGGAUUAUACAAGUGAUCUAGUCAUGAAUUUUCCGGAAGUUCCAAGUUAUCCUUAAACAAUGCUUAAUGGUCCCAAGGCAAUGAAAUCAAGCAAGGUGCAAUUCCCUAUGAAAAGCUCAUAUUUCUCAUACAACAUUUUGACUCAAUACGACAGAUAUGAUUUGACUCAAUAAAACAAACUGACAGACUCAAGAAAACAUCAAAUUGAAACAUAAGAAAAAGCAAAUUGCAUCAGUAGACGAGUGACAUCAUCCCCCAGACUUGCUUCACACCGUCUCAGUGUGAGAACAAUUCCAAAAGAAAACUUCACAACCAAAAACAAAAAAUAAAUGAAGAUGCAAAAAAAGAAGAAUGAAAUUAAGAAAUCUGAGCUGGGACAUCUGGUGGGUUGCCUCCCACAAAACGCUUAUUUUUGGUCUUUAGCUUGACCGCUCAACACAAAUUAUUAAUCAUAAGAAUCAAAAGGUUGAGCCAAUGCACCUUUAGUCCUUCUCCUGUUACCCACACAACAAUAUGCAUAAAGUAACACACAACUAUCCAUGAUAAGGAGGCAAAAUAAUCAUCAACCAAAUUUACUACAAAUGUAGCAUAUAUCUUGAAAUCUACUUUGAUGGUUUGAUGCUCAUGAGGAUCAAAUGCAUUUGGUGGAAAUAUAAAAUCAAUUUCAGGUCUUAAUGAGGUUUUAACAAAAUAGUCAACUUCAUCCCCAUUAAUUUCAUAUAUUACAAUAUCUCCAUCCAUAUAAUGAACAUAAUGAUCCUCAGUCUUAUGCAAGAUGUUAUCAAUAUCUAGCACAACCCCUAACUCAGAUUCUUCAAGAAGAUAUCUAGAUAUUUCAGGCAUUGAAAACUUAAACUCGAGUUUAUGGAAAUUCAAAGCACAAUGAUAUUCAAUAUCAAAACAUAUCUCAUGGUAAUCUCUAGCAAGUUUUUCUGCUCUAAAAGUAUCUAGCUGUUGAGACUCACCUAUCAAAUAAUAACAUUCACUGAUAAUCUUGGGAGUAUGCAAACUAGAAGCAGCAUCUUCAAUGCAAGGCAUAGCAAAAUACUCAAAAUCAUGAAUUUCAAGGGUUGAAACGCAUGUACCUUCUAUGUUGCUCGGUGGAACCCAAUAUAUUACCUUUUCAAGAUCAUGGGCUUCUUUGAUCUCAUAGCCUGUGAGUUGCCUUCCUUCAUAUGCUGCCCGCAACGAUAUGAGGUUCAACCGGAUCAUAGUCGCUAAGUCACUCCUUGUCAAUGUUGGAUUCUCUACGUAAAGUUCAUCCAAUUUCACUUUUUGUUCCGGUGUAAGAACACUCUCAUCAAAUGGUGGCUCUAUAUAUGGCUCAUCCUCUUCUUCUUGUGGCCAAUCAUUGAAUUCCAUGGCCAACAACUCCUAAAUCACCAAAAAGAAAUAAAAAUUGUUAGUUAAAAAAAAACUGCAAAGAAAAUGAUCUAGACUAAAAACUAAUCAUAAAUCUUUAGGUAACG